This 1376-nucleotide long non-coding RNA is filed under the name Heterocephalus glaber (naked mole-rat). RNAcentral describes it as "lncRNA (ENSHGLG00100040453.1)". The record is from RNAcentral. Lineage: Eukaryota; Metazoa; Chordata; Mammalia; Rodentia; Bathyergidae.
CUGCAACCGCUUGGCCCCACUCCGCCCCGCUGGCUCAGUUUGGCCCAGCCGUCAGCUGGUGGGCCUGCCCGGGGAGGUCCUCUUCACCCUGUCCUGGUGGCUGGUGUCACUGGAUCUGGUGCUGUGCCAGUUCUGGCUCUUCCCAAAGUCAAAAUGACCAGGAAAGGUAUGGCCCAUCUCCUGUACACUUGGAGCAACCUUUGGCUACGUGGCUGGCCUUGUUAUUUCACCACUCUGGAUAUACUGGAAUAGAAAGCAACUUACAAACAAGAACAAUUAACUGGAGCAAAGGGAGAAGAUAUUUCUUUGUGCAGACUCUGUAAGGGCUGUGCAGAAGUGUAUAUGGUCAAAGCCAAGCAGUUCCAUUUACAGCACUGUUGUUUUUUUUUUAAUGUAGUUUCAACAUGAUGUGAUUGUAGCUUUUUGAACUAUGAAAACCCUGAGAGAUUGUACCUUCUAGUUGAAAUAAAGUAUUUAUAACAGAUUGUGGCUUCAGAUUCUGUUUGCUGCUUCUUAGACCUUUAAGGAACAUUCUUAAUGAACUUCAUAGAAUUCUGAGGACAGGUUUUUGUUUUCUUUCAAGUUUGAAACUGCUUCAUUAUCAGAGGUCUGGGUAUCGCUGUAGCAUUUCAUAAGCUUUCUGAGAGAAAUUGACAGUUUUCUUGGCCACUGAAGUUUUUCACGUAAUCAAACAACAGUUUAUACAUCUUGAUCCUAUUCUUUUUUUAACUGUAUGUUUCUUUGGAGUUAAAAUGGCUAUGAUAGCCUCAUCAAAAACAAUCUUCAAUCCCUUCUGGGUUAAAGCUGAACAUUCCACAUAGCAGCAUGCUCCUAUCUCUUUUGCUAGUUUCUGUCCUUGUUCCACACAUAUAGGUUUUUCUUUCAUAUCAUUCAGUCUCGCUGAAGUUUUGGGGUCAUCCCGGAGAUCAAUCUGCGUUCCUAUUAAUAAAAAGGGUACAUUUGGGGCAUAUUCCUUAAGUUCCGGUACCCACUCUUCUUUCACAUUUUGAAAUGAGGCUGGAUUGACCACGGAGAAGCAUAUGAGGAAGACAUCAGUCAUUGGAUAGGAUAAAGGCCUCAGAUGAUCAUAGUCUUCCUGCCCCGCCGUGUCUUAGAGUCCCAGGAGGUACUGCUUGGCCCCCACAGUGACGCUGACGGCGUAGUGGUCGAAGACGGUGGGCACGUACUCCUCGGGGAAGGCGUCGUUGGCGUAGCUCAUGAGCAGGCACGUCUUGCCCACCGCGCCGUCGCCCACCACCACGCACUUGAGCAUCAGCGCGCCGGGCUUGUGAGCCAUGUUGCGGCCGGCGGCCUCCGGGCAUGGUCCCCGCGCGCCCCCGCGCCGGCCGGGCUCAGCCCCAGCGCGCCUGGGGGGG